This 242-nucleotide ribosomal RNA is filed under the name uncultured bacterium. RNAcentral's name for it is "partial 16S ribosomal RNA". It matches the Rfam family "Bacterial small subunit ribosomal RNA", at positions 15 to 248 of the family's 1533-position model. The record is from RNAcentral.
GAUCAUGGCUCAGGAUGAACGCUAGCUACAGGCUUAACACAUGCAAGUCGAGGGGCAGCGGGAUUGAAGCUUGCUUCAAUUGCCGGCGACCGGCGCACGGGUGAGUAACGUGUAUCCAACCUUCCGUACACUCAGGGGUAGCCUUUCGAAAGAAAGAUUAAUACCUGAUGGUAUCUUAAGCACACAUGUAAUUAAGAUUAAAGAUUUAUCGGUGUACGAUAGGGAUGCGUUCCAUUAGGUAG